UUGUUAUGAGAGUAUACAUGAAAUUAAAGUGGAAGUUACCUUUUGCAUCAUGAGAUAAUGAUUAAGAGUUAGUAAUAAAUUCAUCGAAACCUUAGGAUAUAACUUUAUUUUCUAUCCUGGGUAAGGAUAGGUUAAAAAUGAAGCUAGGUUUGUGAUAAAUAAAUCGUCUAAGGGUAUAACUAAUUGUCGGGCUAAUAAAUAUGUUAAUCGUGUAGGCUUGGAUGUUUAUACGAAGGUUGUAACAUUAGGUUGUAGUUUAAUUAAUGGGGUUUAAAGGUAUCCAAUUGUUUGAAGUGUUAAAACUCAAGUUACUGUUGUAUAUGUUCUAGUUAAAACCCGACAUAAAAUAACUAAAUAUUAUUGUAUAAUGUUAUUAUAAGUAGUUUAAUUAGAGUAAAGUGUCUCGAUUUAGUCUGAAAUGUUUAUUAAAAACAUUGCCAUAAAUAUUUGUUUAUGGUAGGACCUGCUCAAUGUUUAAUAAAUAGCCGCAGUAUCUUGACUGUGCUAAGGUAGCAUAAUUAAUUGUUCUUUAAAUAAGAAAUUGUUUGAAUGGUUGUUUUAGGCUAUAAAUUACUAUAUUCUAAAUAUUGAAAUUAGUUAGUGUUUGCAGAACAGCACUAUAAUUUAUAAGACGGAAAGACCCCGAGAGUUUGAUUAAAUUUUAUUUGGGGCAAAACCCACAAUUUAGUGGGAAUAUGAACCUGUUUAAGUUGGUUUAAUGGUUAAAUUACCUCGGGGAUAACAGGGUUAGAAGUAAAGAGAGUUCCUAUCGAUUUACUUAGUUGCUACCUCGAUGUUGACUUGGAAGAGCUAUUUGGUGCAGCAGCCAAAAAAGCAGGCCUGUUCGGCCUUUAAAUUUCUUCAUGAGUUGAGUUAAGACCGGUGUGAGCCAGGUCGGUUCUUAUCUAUAUGUGUACUAUGCUAGUACGAAAGGAUUGUAUAGUAUUUAAGUU
This 953-nucleotide ribosomal RNA is filed under the name Enterogyrus malmbergi. Its description in RNAcentral is "16S ribosomal RNA". The stretch from base 601 to 953 matches the Rfam family "Bacterial large subunit ribosomal RNA", at positions 2049 to 2709 of the family's 2925-position model. Lineage: Eukaryota; Metazoa; Platyhelminthes; Monogenea; Dactylogyridea; Ancyrocephalidae. The record is from RNAcentral.